GAUGAACGCUGGCGGCGUGCCUAAUACAUGCAAGUCGAGCGAACGGACGAGAAGCUUGCUUCUCUGAUGUUAGCGGCGGACGGGUGAGUAACACGUGGAUAACCUACCUAUAAGACUGGGAUAACUUCGGGAAACCGGAGCUAAUACCGGAUAAUAUUUUGAACCGCAUGGUUCAAAAGUGAAAGACGGUCUUGCUGUCACUUAUAGAUGGAUCCGCGCUGCAUUAGCUAGUUGGUAAGGUAACGGCUUACCAAGGCAACGAUGCAUAGCCGACCUGAGAGGGUGAUCGGCCACACUGGAACUGAGACACGGUCCAGACUCCUACGGGAGGCAGCAGUAGGAAAUCUUCCGCAAUGGGCGAAAGCCUGACGGAGCAACGCCGCGUGAGUGAUGAAGGUCUUCGGAUCGUAAAACUCUGUUAUUAGGGAAGAACAUAUGUGUAAGUAACUGUGCACAUCUUGACGGUACCUAAGCAGAAAGCCACGGCUAACUACGU
Molecule: ribosomal RNA, 496 nt
Filed under: uncultured bacterium
Lineage: Bacteria
Description: partial 16S ribosomal RNA
Rfam family: Bacterial small subunit ribosomal RNA
Source: RNAcentral